Long non-coding RNA from Oreochromis niloticus (Nile tilapia), 1069 nucleotides. RefSeq lists it as uncharacterized. The transcript is spliced from 2 exons. NCBI's taxonomy places the organism in Eukaryota, Metazoa, Chordata, Actinopteri, Cichliformes, Cichlidae. The record is from RefSeq and is a predicted model, not a curated record.
CAAAUGCAAAAGUCGCAUCAGCAAGAAACCUGUUAAAAGUUUGUUUGGACUAAACUACCAUAGAUACAAAACCAACUCACUCACAGUGGUUUCUUGUAUAUACAACACUGACAUUAUUUCAUUACUUCACCUUUUUUCAUUUUUGUAAAACUUUGAGCAUAUGUAAUAUGAACAUCCACUCAUGUAACAGUGGCAAAAAACAGGAAAAGCAUAAUGGGUAAGAGACUACUCACUGACAUAAGAGGUCAGUAAUUCAGGGAGCUGUAAAGGAAGAGACUUGUGUUGCAAAUAUUUUGCACCAGACCAUGUUUAAACUGCUCAUCAUCAGCAGAUAGAUAAGAGAGGACUUUGACAUAGAGCAGAGCAUUAAUCAAAAUCCAGUCUAAAUGUUACUAUAACCCAUUUUUAAAUUAGUUUUCCAUUAUUUUGUAACCUGAAUUUCCUUGACCCACCAGAGGGGUUCAAGCCAGCACCAAAGGGAAACCCACCUUCCCCUUGUAUUAUUAAAAUCUAUUAGAAAGUGUAAGGAUUUUAUUUUUAAAGGCAUAAUAUCAUUUUUUUAUGAAAUUGCCAGGAUAAAAGAUACAGAUCCGUCAAAUAAGAUCAUGGUCUUUACUGUAGAUGUGCACUUGUGCAGAGCAGAUAGAUGACCAUUUGAUUAGCUUAUGAAAUCAUAAGUAGCACUGUUCAACCUGAGAAGCAUAACUUACCUAAUCAAAACGUUUUUGUUUUUUUUGUUUUUUUAAAGUAAUCCUAACUGAACUGCACAUUUUUUAACAUAUUCCGAGUUGAUUUUGAAAUUCUUCACCAUCCAAGACCUGGUCAGAAGCAAAGAGACCAAAGAUGUAGCACCAGGAAAGCUCACCAAACCAACCCUUGAGAGCGCAUAGAUGACCACUUGCUUGGAUUAUGCAACCGUAAGUGGCACUGUGGCUGUGCCUGCUGCCUGCAGGCCAAACACAGCCUCGCUGGAUGAAGAUCACUCUCAGUUAGACUGGGAAAACACAUGGAAAGCUACUCUGUGUCAUUAAAAGAAGUCUACGAGAGAGGCACAGAACCUGCCACGCAA